GACGAACGCUGGCGGCGUGCCUAAUACAUGCAAGUAGAACGCUGAAGGAGGAGCUUGCUUCUCUGGAUGAGUUGCGAACGGGUGAGUAACGCGUAGGUAACCUGCCUGGUAGCGGGGGAUAACUAUUGGAAACGAUAGCUAAUACCGCAUAAGAGUAGAUGUUGCAUGACAUUUGCUUAAAAGGUGCAAUUGCAUCACUACCAGAUGGACCUGCGUUGUAUUAGCUAGUUGGUGGGGUAACGGCUCACCAAGGCGACGAUACAUAGCCGACCUGAGAGGGUGAUCGGCCACACUGGGACUGAGACACGGCCCAGACUCCUACGGGAGGCAGCAGUAGGGAAUCUUCGGCAAUGGACGGAAGUCUGACCGAGCAACGCCGCGUGAGUGAAGAAGGUUUUCGGAUCGUAAAGCUCUGUUGUAAGAGAAGAACGGGUGUGAGAGUGGAAAGUUCACACUGUGACGGUAUCUUACCAGAAAGGGACGGCUAACUACGUGCCAGCAGCCGCGGUAAUACGUAGGUCCCGAGCGUUGUCCGGAUUUAUUGGGCGUAAAGCGAGCGCAGGCGGUUAGAUAAGUCUGAAGUUAAAGGCUGUGGCUUAACCAUAGUACGCUUUGGAAACUGUUUAACUUGAGUGCAAGAGGGGAGAGUGGAAUUCCAUGUGUAGCGGUGAAAUGCGUAGAUAUAUGGAGGAACACCGGUGGCGAAAGCGGCUCUCUGGCUUGUAACUGACGCUGAGGCUCGAAAGCGUGGGGAGCAAACAGG
Molecule: ribosomal RNA, 763 nt
Filed under: uncultured Streptococcus sp.
Lineage: Bacteria; Bacillati; Bacillota; Bacilli; Lactobacillales; Streptococcaceae
Description: bacterial SSU rRNA
Rfam family: Bacterial small subunit ribosomal RNA
Source: RNAcentral